AGACGAAUUUUGAUCCGCAGAUUUCUGAAUGGGGAAACCCAAUCAAUUUAUUGAUUAUUGCAUAUUAAAUACAUAGAUAUGUAAAGCAAACCUGGUGAACUGAAAUAUCUCAGUAGCUAGAGGAAAGGAAAUCAAAAGAGACUCCGUUAGUAGUGACGAGCGAACGCGGACCAGGCCAGUGGUUUAUAAUUAAAAAUUAGAAUACUUUGGAAAGAGUAGCCAUAGGUGGUGAUAGCCCAGUAUAAGUAAAAAAAUUAUAAAUCCUUGAGUAGGGCGGGACACGUGAAAUCCUGUUUGAAGAUGGGGGGACCAUCCUCCAAGCCUAAGUACUCCUUAACGACCGAUAGUGGACAAGUACCGUGAGGGAAAGGUGAAAAGAACCCCGGGAGGGGAGUGAAAUAGACCCUGAAAUCGAAUGCUUACAACCAGUUGGAGCCUUAUAUUUAUACCUGGGAGCAAUCUCAGCAUAUGUUUAUUAAG
This 480-nucleotide ribosomal RNA is filed under the name uncultured Ehrlichia sp. Its description in RNAcentral is "partial 23S ribosomal RNA". It matches the Rfam family "Bacterial large subunit ribosomal RNA", at positions 90 to 592 of the family's 2925-position model. Lineage: Bacteria; Pseudomonadati; Pseudomonadota; Alphaproteobacteria; Rickettsiales; Anaplasmataceae. The record is from RNAcentral.